This 402-nucleotide ribosomal RNA is filed under the name uncultured bacterium. RNAcentral's name for it is "bacterial SSU rRNA". It matches the Rfam family "Bacterial small subunit ribosomal RNA", at positions 355 to 774 of the family's 1533-position model. The record is from RNAcentral.
UGGGGGAUAUUGCACAAUGGGGGAAACCCUGAUGCAGCGACGCCGCGUGUAGGAAGACGGUCCUCUGGAUUGUAAACUACUGUCUUCGGGGACGAUAAUGACGGUACCCGAGGAGGAAGCUCCGGCUAACUACGUGCCAGCAGCCGCGGUAAUACGUAGGGAGCGAGCGUUGUCCGGAUUUAUUGGGUUUAAAGGGUGCGUAGGCGGCACCGUAAGUUAGUGGUUAAAUCGUUCGGCUCAACCGGAUGUUGCCAUUAAAACUGCGGAGCUAGAGUACAGAUGAGGUAGGCGGAAUAAGUUAAGUAGCGGUGAAAUGCAUAGAUAUAACACAGAACACCUAUUGCGAAGGCAGCUGACAAAACCAUUAUUGACGCUGAGGCACGAAAGUGUGGGGAUCAAACA